RNAcentral lists this ribosomal RNA (482 nucleotides) under uncultured bacterium. RNAcentral's name for it is "partial 16S ribosomal RNA". It matches the Rfam family "Bacterial small subunit ribosomal RNA", at positions 30 to 507 of the family's 1533-position model. The record is from RNAcentral.
AUUGAACGCUGGCGGCAUGCUUUACACAUGCAAGUCGAACGGUAACAGGCCGCAAGGUGCUGACGAGUGGCGAACGGGUGAGUAAUGCAUCGGAACGUGCCCAGUCGUGGGGGAUAACUACUCGAAAGAGUAGCUAAUACCGCAUACGAUCUAUGGAUGAACGCGGGGGACCGUAAGGCCUCGCGCGAUUGGAGCGGCCGAUGUCAGAUUAGGUAGUUGGUGGGGUAAAGGCUCACCAAGCCAACGAGCUGUAGCUGGUCUGAGAGGACGACCAGCCACACUGGGACUGAGACACGGCCCAGACUACUACGGGAGGCAGCAGUGGGGAAUUUUGGACAAUGGGCGCAAGCCUGAUCCAGCAAUGCCACGUGCAGGAAGAAGGCCUUCGGGUUGUAAACUGCUUUUGUACGGAACGAAACGGCUCCGGUUAAUACCCGGGGCUAAUGACGGUACCGGAAGAAUAAGCACCGGCUAACUACGUG